RNAcentral lists this long non-coding RNA (268 nucleotides) under Arabidopsis lyrata. RNAcentral's name for it is "long non-coding RNA (ALYR_LNC002747)". The record is from RNAcentral. Lineage: Eukaryota; Viridiplantae; Streptophyta; Magnoliopsida; Brassicales; Brassicaceae.
AUAAAGAGACUCAUUUUGAGUGAUCAUUGAGAUAGGAGAUCUCGAACUCUGCACGACGAGGCAAUAGAUUAGUCAAUGCUACGUCUCCCGUCGGUGGAACUUCCUCAAACAUCUCAGCUCCUAAUCUCUCCCGCAAUGCCUGAAUGUUCCCAUCGUUAAGUCCAUCAAACUGCCAUCCUAAGGCUAGGCACUCUUUUUCUUCUCCAGAAUCUUAGACACAUUUUUCAAAACAAAUAUGUGAUCAACGAAUCAAAACUGUGGACAUACU